GAUGAACGCUAGCGGCAGGCUUAACACAUGCAAGUCGAGGGGUAUAGUUCUCCGGAAUUAGAGACCGGCGCACGGGUGCGUAACGCGUAUGCAAUCUACCUUUUGCAGAGGGAUAGCCCAGAGAAAUUUGGAUUAAUACCUCAUAGUAUAGUACAACCGCAUGGUUGAGUUAUUAAAGUCACAACGGCAAAAGAUGAGCA
This 200-nucleotide ribosomal RNA is filed under the name uncultured bacterium. RNAcentral describes it as "partial 16S ribosomal RNA". It matches the Rfam family "Bacterial small subunit ribosomal RNA", at positions 28 to 231 of the family's 1533-position model. The record is from RNAcentral.